Molecule: long non-coding RNA, 5643 nt
Organism: Culex pipiens pallens (northern house mosquito)
Lineage: Eukaryota; Metazoa; Arthropoda; Insecta; Diptera; Culicidae
Exons: 5
Source: RefSeq, a predicted model, not a curated record
UUUUGCACUUUACUAGAGUCUUGGGCAAUUAUUUUCGUCACAGUAUCUUUUUAUCACAGCGAUUUUCCAUCACAGUUGUGUCGUUUCCAAGGUAGCCAAGGCAGCUGUUUAUGUUUGGUUUGCAUUUUUUGCAAUGUGGAAAACUUGACAUAUUUAUCUGGAUUGUACUUUAAAGACAAUCGGAACGGAACGGAUUAACCGGAAGUGCAAGCAAUACUUUAGAAGAGCUUUCGCCGAUACCGAAGACAAAGUAUACUGGAAUUGAACAGACAGAUUUGCUCGAUUUGCUGGAUUUUUACGGUUUGACAAGCGAGACAAAGUUGCCAGUUUGUCAAAAAUCUAUAUCGCUAGCAGUGUUUCCAGUUUUUGCAGAGAACCGGUAUAACCGAGUACGCUGCGGCAGCCGCGGCAGCGCCAUCUCCUCGAUAAUCUCGCCCCAGUCCUCGCAGGAAUUGACCUUCAACCUCCAAUCCCGGGCCCCGCCCUGUAAACAAACACUUUGGUGGGUCCGGUGCACCGCGGUGGUGCUGGUGAGUCUAGGACGCAAAGCAAAGCCGACGCGGAAACCUUUGUGAGCCAAACAGCAGCAGCGGAACGGAAAGUGGUGCGGGACGGGGUCGAGUGCUCGAAAAGGACAAGGCCAGCUUCCUGCAGGAACUACAAGCUGUUCCGGGACCGGAAUGGGAUGGAAGGUAGGAAUGUGGAUUCGCACCGGUUGUAUUCGGUGGUGGUGGCCCAGGAUUGGAGGUUGAAGGUCAAUUCCUGCGAGGACUGGGGUGAGAUUAUCGAGGAGAUGGCGCUGCCGCAGCGUUGCAUGAACAACGAGUUUGCGUUGAAGAAGAUUCACGUCUGGUUUUUGGACAAGUACGAGAAAGUUAAUUUUCACGGUGAGUUGACGGAUCCGACGAAGAGGAGGACGACUAGCGGCAUAAUCGGAGGUGGUCAGCGCAGAUGUUGCACUCGGUGCAGGCGGUUUACAACACCGCAACUUUCCACCCAUAAACGCUCACCUCGCGACGGCGCAGCUCCAGCUGAAUGAACCUUGACAGCGAGCCGGAAAAUCUGUCAUUCUCGAAGGUGGAUGAAGUGCUCAAAAUCGAAUUCUGUUCCAACGAUCUCAUCAACCCCAUGUUCCGGAUGCGCUUCCAGGAUCGGGAUCUCCCCGUUCAAGCACUUCACUUCCCAGUCGGGAAACGUCGACCACCCUUCACGAAUUAACGGCCAACUCCUCCAAGACUGUCCUGAUAAAGGCCGGCAACGUGACCUGCUGUCCUCUACACUACUGUCGCGCGUCGAAACGUCCAUCCGGAACCGUCCAGCCUGGGGUCUUCGGAAGUGACCGGUGGCGUACCGUAAGAAUCGGUACAGCUUGGACUCUGAUGUUGGCCAACCUUGAGCAGAAGCGUUAAAUACAAUAAAAAAAAUGUUUUUUUUAGCAUGCCGUUUUGAACUUUUUAAAAUAAAUAUGAAAAUCAAGCUCAUUUUUUGAAAUUAUCACUGUAGUAUUAAAUGUAGUUUAUUCUUGCCAUAAAAGGUUUCCUUUCCAACAAAAAGUAAAACACUUUUACCGAUACAACGAUUUUGUUCCAUAAAUGCAUGGUAGUAUCAAAAACUUUCCAACUUUUAAAUUAAAAAGUUUGAACUUUCUACGAAUAUUCACCAACGCGAACUUUUAAUCCAACGAGCGAUCUUUUUAAAUUUAGAGUAUUUUUUCUUUGUGUGUGUGUACGUACAAGCUGUAAACAUACACUGAAAAUAUGCCACACUUUUUAUUCAAGUGCCUUAACACUUGAAUGAUUGAAUAAAGUCACAUCGUAGAUCUAAUUGGUUUGUGUUUAAACAUAAAUCCAACCCGCAUAAUCAAAAACCAUCGGGGGAAUAGUCCAAACUAUAUUACUACUAAAAGAGAUGUAGUUACCACAUACUUAACCAUUAUCAUAUAGUUACGGCACUAUACAAAACCAUAACAAAACUGAUCGUCAAAUGAUGACGUUUUUAUUGAAGUAAAUCUAAUGAUUCUAACUAUUUUUGAACUAUUUGGGGUACAAUAACCUUACACUAAACAGUUCGGAUUGUUUAGACAACGUGACUCAACGAAAAAAUGUACAAGUCCAAAUAGUUCAAACAAUUUAUCAACUUUAUUGAGAACAAUAUAGCAAAAUUCCACAGAUUUUAGAUUUUUAUAGUCAGAACCUGUAAGAACUAAAAACCUACUAUAAAUGCUAUAGUAGAACACAAUUGAUGGCGGCCACAUUUUUUUCGAUAAGUUUGUAUAAUCCAAAUAAUUUGUCAACUUACAUGAAGUAAAAUUACUAUACACCAUACUAUUUUGAAUUAAAAAUUUCUAUAAGUCCAAAUAGUUCAAACAAUAUUUCAACAGUAUGGAGUACAAUUACAGUUUGUUAUAUAAUCCAACUAUAUGUUAAACGAUUGGUACAAAAAUUUCAACUUUUAUCAAGUAAAUUGAUCACAGUCGAUUCCUCUGGAUGAUAGAGAACCUUCAACACCCCCACUUCUCCUCAGAUUAUCAGAAAACUCCCCAAAAGAAGAAAAAUGUUACGAGGGCUCAUGAAAUUGACUUUCACUAUUCCAGAAAAAGUAGGCAUGCUGUUCUUACUAUACACCAAAAAUAUGUGUACUACAUGGUAGACUAUUACUGUUCACUAUAAAAUGAGUCAAUUGUUUGGACUACUUGGACUUAUCGAAAAAUACUUGCCCCCGAGCUUGCUCCCUUCUAACACAACAUGUCACCAAAACCACUGAAAAACCACCAACAGAUAUAGAUCAAUCGGAUAAGGCGGCAGCAGUUCGGCAGCAACGUAAAUAACAUCACAUAUAACGGCGGUAAACAUUCACCAACUAUCGAUAGAACUUAAAAAUCAAAUUUGAUUAUAUCCGAAGUAGUUAUCACAACAAUUGUAGGGUUCAUUUUUGCGGUCUUUUUUAAAGUGUCGGCAAAGUAGUGUCGGUAAAGUAGUUUUUCAGAAACUAUAUAGGGAAUAGUCAAUUUUUUGGGCAAUGACUAUUUGACGUAAAAUCCAAGUUUAUAAAAAUAUUUACAUAUGUAUGAAAACCUCAUAUAGUUUUCUGCCUAACAACUAAUUUCUCAUAUAGUAAAAUCGACCAAAACUAUUUUGGGAAUGGAAUUGAUGGUUUGAUAUAUCGUACAUAUAUAGUUGGGUUACAAUUUAAUGAAUAGUAGAGACCAUUUGAUAAAUAGUUGAGUAACUAUUUGUCAUAAAGUAGUUAUAUAGUUCAUGACUAUGCGGGAAACCACUAUCAAAUGCAAGUGUUUGGGCGGUUGACUUUUUGGUAUUUUUUAACAUGUUAUUUUCAUUCGGGUGGCUCAAGCUUUUCAAGUGUUUUGCUCAUGAAUUUGUCCCACCGUCUUGAACUAUUCAAAGUGAUGAGCCAAACACUUCAAAAUGAUCUUAAGAUCUACCCAAAACAGGCACUAUUCAAAGUCAACGUGAUUAUCCACAUGAAUUUAAUGUGUUUCACUGAUUGAUUUUCAUCGAAGGCUAGAAGCGAGGCAAGAACGAAUAGCACAAAAAACUCUCCCGUCUUUAACUGGCCGGCCGGCGCAGUGGUAGCGUGCACGACUAGCAAGCGAGAACCUGUAAAUCGCUUGUACGUACUUUUAUUUUUCAACACCAUUUAAAAUUCAAGUGUUUGGCUAUUGAAAUUAUUUAAUGACCAAUCACCGAAAUUUCAAGUGUUUUGCGAUUGAUAUUUGAGUGCUCUGUACAGCAGGGCCAGAUCAUGUGUAGAACACUUCGUUGAGCUGUGUAAGUUUUGCUCAGUGUAUUUUCACUUGCUAGUCGUACACGCUACCACUGCGCCGGCCAGCCAGUUCAAAACGGAAGAGUUUUUGGUGCUACUGGUUCUAGCUUCGCUUCUAGCCUUCGAUAAAAGUCGCGCUAAAAUCAAUCAGUGAAACACAUUAAAUUCAAGUGGAAAAUCACGUUGACUUUGAAUAGUGCUUGUUUCGUGUGGAUCUUAAGAUCAAUUUCAAGUGUUUUCCUCAUCAUUUUGAAUAGAUCAAGACGAUUACCCUUCCCGAUUACCCUUCCCGAUUACCCUUCCCGAAUAACGGCCAAAUCCUCCAAGACUGUUCUGAUGAAGGCGGCAACGUGACCAACCCGUGGACCAACCUGUUCUCUACACUGCUGUCGCGCAUCGAAACGUCCAGCCUGGGGUCUUCGGAAGUGACCGGUGGCGUACCGUAAGAAUCGGUACAGCUUGGACUCUGAUGUUGGUCAACCUUGAGCAGAAGCGUUAAAUACAAUAAAAAAAUGUUUUUUUAGCAUGCUGUUUUGAACUUUUAAAAAUAAAUAUGAAAAUCAAGCUCAUUUUUUGAAAUUAUUACUUAAGUAUUAAAUGUAGUUUAUUCUUGCCAUAAAAGGUUUCCUUUCCAACAAAAAGUAAAACACUUACCGAUACAACGAUUUUGUUCCAUAAAUGUAUGGUAGUAUCAAAACUUUCCAACUCUUAAAUUAAAAAGUUUGAACUUUCUACGAAUAUUCACCAACGCGAACUUUUAAUCCAACGAGCGAUCUUUUUAAAUUUAGAGUACCCGCAUAGUCAUGAACUAUAUAACUACUUUAUGACAAAUAGUUACUCAACUAUUUAUCAAAUGGUCUCUACUAUUCAUUAAAUUGUAACCCAACUAUAUAUGUACGAUAUAUCAAACCAUUAAUUCCAUUCCCAAAAUAGUUUUGGUCGAUUUUACUAUAUGAGAAAUUAGUUGUUAGGCAGAAAACUAUAUGAGGUUUUCAUACAUAUGUAAAUAUUUUUAUAAAUUUGGAUUUUACGUCAAAUAGUCAUUGCCCAAAAAAUUGACUAUUCCCUAUAUAGUUUCUGAAAAACUCCCGGAUAAACGAAAACUAUAUCGAUUGCAGUGUGGAACUUAAAAAAACCUUAUGAGAUAUGGUCACCAUUUGUAAUAAUGUUAUUUGGCGGACCUUGAUGACUAUUAGUCAAAUGGUCACCAUAAGUAAUAGAGUUAUUUUAAUGUUUGUAAUGGUAAACAAUUUUCUUGAUCACUUUAAAAAACUAUUUGCAGAUGUUUUCUCAAAUGGUUACCCUAAAUCAUAAGGUAAUUUUAAAAUUCAAAUGGUUCAACUGGCGGACUUGGAUGAUUGUUUGUCAAAAGGUUACCAUAAUUGUUAUAGUUAUUUCAAAGUUUGUAAUGGUAACAAGUUUUUUUGAGAACAAUAAAAAACUAUUUACGAUUUUUUCUUGAAAUGGUUACCAUAAAUCAUAAGGGUAUUUUAAAGUUAAAAUGGUAAACCUUGAUACGCGAGCACCAUAUUGAAUCAUUAAAUAACCAUUUGAAAAAUAGUUACCAUUUUAUUUUAUUUUUCCACAAAAACAAAAUGGGUACUGUUAUUUAUUUUAGAUUUUUUUAGAUUCUAUUUAACGAAUUCUUUAAAGUUUAUUUAUGUCUUACAUAUUUGUAAACAUAAAUCCAACAGGUGGACAAAAAACUUCACUUCUUUAUUCAACUUCAAUUUGUAAAAUUUUAAAGCAAAAAUCAUCAAAGAUUUCAUAAAUUUGUGUUUAUGUUAUCACUUUUUUGUUAUUCAGAGUCUAAAAAUAUCUCUAUUGAUUAAGGCUGUAUCAUUCCCGGGCGGCCAUUUA